This 274-nucleotide ribosomal RNA is filed under the name uncultured bacterium. Its description in RNAcentral is "partial 16S ribosomal RNA". It matches the Rfam family "Bacterial small subunit ribosomal RNA", at positions 523 to 796 of the family's 1533-position model. The record is from RNAcentral.
AUACGGAGGGUGCAAGCGUUACUCGGAAUCACUGGGCGUACAGCGCGCGCAGGCGGCCUGAUAAGUUGGAUGUGAAAGCCUACGGCUCAACUGUAGAACUGCAUCCAAAACUAUUAGACUAGAGUCUGGGAGGGGAAGAUGGAAUUAGUUGUGUAGGGGUAAAAUCCGUAGAGAUAACUAGGAAUACCAAAAGCGAAGGCGAUCUUCUGGAACAGUACUGACGCUGAGGCGCGAAAGCGUGGGGAGCAAACAGGAUUAGAUACCCCAGUAGUCC